Molecule: long non-coding RNA, 231 nt
Filed under: Daucus carota (carrot)
Lineage: Eukaryota; Viridiplantae; Streptophyta; Magnoliopsida; Apiales; Apiaceae
Description: long non-coding RNA (DCAR_LNC006856)
Source: RNAcentral
ACUUGAUACCUUUCAAGUUGGGAGAGUUUGAUGUUAUUUUAGGAAUGGAUUGGUUAUCGAAGCAUAACGCUCAAAUAGAUUGUCGUAAUAAGAAGGUAAUGUUAAGGGCACCGAAUGAGAAGACGAUAGUAUUUCGAGGGCAGAAACAGGUAAAGAAGUUUUUGACUAUGAUUCAAACGAAGAGAUUGUUGCGUCAAGGUUGUGAAGCUUAUAUAGCAUAUGUAACUGAUC